Molecule: ribosomal RNA, 601 nt
Filed under: uncultured bacterium
Lineage: Bacteria
Description: bacterial SSU rRNA
Rfam family: Bacterial small subunit ribosomal RNA
Source: RNAcentral
UGUAACUGACGCUAAAGCUCGAAAGUGCGGGUAUCGAACAGGAUUAGAUACCCUGGUAGUCCGCACGGUAAACGAUGGAUGCCCGCUGUUUGCGAUAUAUUGUAAGCGGCCAAGCGAAAGCGUUAAGCAUCCCACCUGGGGAGUACGCCGGCAACGGUGAAACUCAAAGGAAUUGACGGGGGCCCGCACAAGCGGAGGAACAUGUGGUUUAAUUCGAUGAUACGCGAGGAACCUUACCCGGGCUUGAACUGCAGGAGAACGAUUCAGAGAUGAAGAGGCCCUUCGGGGCUCCUGUGGAGGUGCUGCAUGGUUGUCGUCAGCUCGUGCCGUGAGGUGUCGGCUUAAGUGCCAUAACGAGCGCAACCCUUGCUGUUAGUUGCCAUCAGGUAAUGCUGGGCACUCUGACAGGACUGCCACCGUAAGGUGUGAGGAAGGUGGGGAUGACGUCAAAUCAGCACGGCCCUUACGUCCGGGGCUACACACGUGUUACAAUGGGUGGUACAGAGAGUCGGGUGCACGCAAGUUCGCCCUAAUCAAUAAAGCCAUCCUCAGUUCGGAUUGGGGUCUGCAACCCGACCCCAUGAAGCUGGAUCGCUAGUAA